GCCAGUUUGGCUCAAUGGAUAGAGCGUUGGCCUGUGGACCCAAGAAUCCCGGGUUCAAUUCCAGUCAAGGGCA
This is a non-coding RNA of Myotis lucifugus (little brown bat), 73 nucleotides long. The record is from Rfam. NCBI's taxonomy places the organism in Eukaryota, Metazoa, Chordata, Mammalia, Chiroptera, Vespertilionidae.